RNAcentral lists this transfer RNA (74 nucleotides) under Oscillospiraceae bacterium. RNAcentral's name for it is "tRNA-Gln". It matches the Rfam family "tRNA". From Rfam's summary of the family: Transfer RNA (tRNA) molecules are approximately 80 nucleotides in length. Their secondary structure includes four short double-helical elements and three loops (D, anti-codon, and T loops). Lineage: Bacteria; Bacillati; Bacillota; Clostridia; Eubacteriales; Oscillospiraceae. The record is from RNAcentral.
UGCGGAAUUGUGUAAUGGUAGCACAGCAGACUCUGACUCUGUUUGUCUGGGUUCGAAUCCUAGUUCCGCAGCCA